GACGAACGCUGGCGGCGUGCCUAAUACAUGCAAGUCGAACGCUUUUUCUUUCACCGGAGCUUGCUCCACCGAAAGAAAAAGAGUGGCGAACGGGUGAGUAACACGUGGGUAACCUGCCCAUCAGAAGGGGAUAACACUUGGAAACAGGUGCUAAUACCGUAUAUCACUAUUUUCCGCAUGGAAGAAAGUUGAAAGGCGCUUUUGCGUCACUGAUGGAUGGACCCGCGGUGCAUUAGCUCGUUGGUGAGGUAACGGCUCACCAAGGCAACGAUGCAAAGCCGACCUGGGAGGGUGAUCGGCCACACUGGGACUGAGACACGGCCCAGACUCCUACGGGAGGUAGCAGUAGGGAAUCUUCGGCAAUGGACGAAAGUCUGACCGAGCAACGCCGCGUGAGUGAAGAAGGUUUUCGGAUCGUAAAACUCUGUUGUUAGAGAAGAACAAGGAUGAGAGUAAAACGUUCAUCCCUUGACGGUAUCUAACCAGAAAGCCACGGCUAACUACGUGCCAGCCGCCGCCGUAA
RNAcentral lists this ribosomal RNA (523 nucleotides) under uncultured bacterium. RNAcentral's name for it is "partial 16S ribosomal RNA". It matches the Rfam family "Bacterial small subunit ribosomal RNA", at positions 28 to 523 of the family's 1533-position model. The record is from RNAcentral.